RNAcentral lists this ribosomal RNA (463 nucleotides) under Vreelandella stevensii. Its description in RNAcentral is "partial 16S ribosomal RNA". It matches the Rfam family "Bacterial small subunit ribosomal RNA", at positions 339 to 794 of the family's 1533-position model. Lineage: Bacteria; Pseudomonadati; Pseudomonadota; Gammaproteobacteria; Oceanospirillales; Halomonadaceae. The record is from RNAcentral.
CUACGGGGGGCUGCAGUGGGGAAUAUUGGACAAUGGGCGAAAGCCUGAUCCAGCCAUGCCGCGUGUGUGAAGAAGGCCUUCGGGUUGUAAAGCACUUUCAGUGGGGAAGAAAGCCUUGGGGCUAAUACCCUCGAGGAAGGACAUCACCCACAGAAGAAGCACCGGCUAACUCCGUGCCAGCAGCCGCGGUAAUACGGAGGGUGCGAGCGUUAAUCGGAAUUACUGGGCGUAAAGCGCGCGUAGGCGGUCUGAUAAGCCGGUUGUGAAAGCCCCGGGCUCAACCUGGGAACGGCAUCCGGAACUGUCAGGCUAGAGUGCAGGAGAGGAAGGUAGAAUUCCCGGUGUAGCGGUGAAAUGCGUAGAGAUCGGGAGGAAUACCAGUGGCGAAGGCGGCCUUCUGGACUGACACUGACGCUGAGGUGCGAAAGCGUGGGUAGCAAACAGGAUUAGAUACCCCAGUAGU